This 166-nucleotide small nuclear RNA is filed under the name Carlito syrichta (Philippine tarsier). RNAcentral describes it as "U1 spliceosomal RNA (ENSTSYG00000024336.2)". The stretch from base 1 to 136 matches the Rfam family "U1 spliceosomal RNA". From Rfam's summary of the family: U1 is a small nuclear RNA (snRNA) component of the spliceosome (involved in pre-mRNA splicing). Its 5' end forms complementary base pairs with the 5' splice junction, thus defining the 5' donor site of an intron. Lineage: Eukaryota; Metazoa; Chordata; Mammalia; Primates; Tarsiidae. The record is from RNAcentral.
AUGCUUACCUGGCAGGGAAGAUAUGCUCACAAAGAUGGUUUUCCCAGGGCGAGGCUCAUCCAUUGCAUUCCAGAUGUGGUGACCCCUGCAACUUUUGUUCUCUUCUGAUUAAAAUAAAUAAAUACAUAUUUAUUUACCAAGCACCUGGUAUGUGCCAGGCACUGUC